Molecule: ribosomal RNA, 253 nt
Filed under: uncultured bacterium
Lineage: Bacteria
Description: partial 16S ribosomal RNA
Rfam family: Bacterial small subunit ribosomal RNA
Source: RNAcentral
UAUAGAGGUCCCAAGCGUUGUACGGAUUUACUGGGCGUAAAGGGUGCGUAGGUGGCGGGGUAAGUUCGAUGUGAAAUCUCCGAGCUCAACUCGGAAAUGGCAUUGAAUACUAUCUUGCUUGAGGGUCGGAGGGGAGACUGGAAUUUUCGGUGUAGCAGUGAAAUGCGUAGAUAUCGAGAGGAACACCAGUGGCGAAGGCGAGUCUCUGGACGACUCCUGACACUGAGGCACGAAAGCUCGGGGAGCAAACAGG